CGUGUUUGUUUUGUGUAACGUAUAUUGCUGUAUUAUUUAAAAAUUUAAAUUCCACCUUAGAGAACAAGAGAAGCAAGUGGCUGUGUGACAUGCUGUAGAUAAAGCUAACAGAGCAUAUGUGGGCUGAAGAUAGAUGGAAGGACCAAGGACACACUGACUACUCACGAGGAUCUGCAGAACAGUGUCAAUGACACCGAUGGGAGGGGUCGUCCUUCUGGUUACUGAUGUGAACGGCAGUGGCUCCAGUAUUUCACCAUUAAGCAUCCUGCUGGACUUGAUUUUACAUAGACCAUUUCCUUUGAGUUCGGAGAGAACGGCUCCCGUUUGUCUUCUGAGUUCUCGCUCCUCAAGGUGUGGUCCAGGGACCAGCAGGAUCAGCGUCACUGAGAGUUUGUUAGAAAUGUAAGUUCUUGGGCCCCAGCCCAGGCCCGCUGAGCCAGAAUCUGCGUUUUACCCAGAGCCCCAGCUGAUUUGUGUGCACAUUAAAAUUUGAGAAGUGCUGUAAAAUUCUAGCCGAAGAAGAAACCCUUUCCAAGUUUCCAGCGGCAAUGCAGACUUUCCCCGUUAUUAUACGAGUUUGAUUAUUCUAGUGUAAAUGUGGGAGGAGAAGUUUAAUGUGAGGCUUUUGCUCACCAUCUGGGAUCAGAACCCACAGGUUCUUUGUGGCAGGAUACGGGGAAGGGCAGUCGGCUACCGUGUGUGGUGACAUGAAACGAAAACGACAGCCCAAAGGUCAUCAAAAUCGCCACCAGGCAUCAUUAGACCAACAAGAAAGAAUCCUUCUGUUGCAUUUUGAAGGGCAGUGUGCGUUCCCCAGAGGGCUUUGCCCACACUCAUUUCUUUGACAAACUUAUGAAUGCCAGCUGGUACUUACAUGAAGGCCUGUUGUCCUGAGCUGAUGGAAGGGUAAUGAAGGGGUUCCGGCAGAGUGGUUUGAUGUCAGGCACACGUUUCCCUCUAUUCUUGCUAAGCAGAAGAAAGUUCUGCGCUCACUGAGGAAAUAGAUGUUCUGGGGGCCCCAGCACUGUGCCUGAGGGCCGCCUUCGCUGGGUGAGAUAUUCACAGAACUGAGUUAUAUGAGUGUUAUUAGCAUGUGGAAAGAUAAAUUCUUUUAAGGAAAAAAAUCAGUUGAAUAAUACCCAGUUCUCACCAGUCAUGGCAGGAUUGGCAGGG
Molecule: long non-coding RNA, 1173 nt
Filed under: Equus caballus (horse)
Lineage: Eukaryota; Metazoa; Chordata; Mammalia; Perissodactyla; Equidae
Description: lncRNA (ENSECAG00000046266.1)
Source: RNAcentral